This 545-nucleotide ribosomal RNA is filed under the name Palaemon paludosus. RNAcentral describes it as "partial 16S ribosomal RNA". It matches the Rfam family "Bacterial large subunit ribosomal RNA", at positions 1827 to 2628 of the family's 2925-position model. Lineage: Eukaryota; Metazoa; Arthropoda; Malacostraca; Decapoda; Palaemonidae. The record is from RNAcentral.
AACAUGUCUAUAUGAAUUAUAUUAUAAAGUCUAACCUGCCCACUGAGUUUUUAAAGGGCUGCGGUAAUUUGACCGUGCAAAGGUAGCAUAAUCAGUAGUCUUUUAAUUGAAGGCUUGUAUGAAUGGUUGCAUGAAGGAAAAGCUGUCUUUUUUUCAAUUUAAAAUUUGACUUUUAAGUGAAAAGGCUUAAAUUAAUUAGUGGGACGAUAAGACCCUAUAAAACUUUAUAUGUAAUGUAUUCUAUUUUUAAAUUAUUUUAAAAUAUUAUUUAAUAUUUUACAUAUUUCGUUGGGGAGACGUUGAUAUAAAAUGUAACUGUUUAAAUAAAAAAUAUAAUUAUCGUUAUGUUUUGAUCCUUCUUUGUGGAUAAAAAGAAUAAGUUACUUUAGGGAUAACAGCGUAAUUUUUUCUGAGAGUUCUUAUCGAAGAAAGUAGUUGCGACCUCGAUGUUGAAUUAAAAUUUCAGUCAGGUGUAGCCGUCUGAUUAGUAGGUCUGUUCGACCUUUAAAAUUUUACAUGAUUUGAGUUCAAACCGGUGUGAGCCA